UGGGGAAUAUUGCACAAUGGAGGAAACUCUGAUGCAGCAACGCCGCGUGAGCGAUGAAGGCCUUUGGGUCGUAAAGCUCUGUCCUUGGGGAAGAAACAAAUGACGGUACCCUUGGAGGAAGCCCCGGCUAACUCCGUGCCAGCAGCCGCGGUAAUACGGAGGGGGCAAGCGUUAUCCGGAAUUAUUGGGCGUAAAGGGUACGUAGGUGGUUUUUUAAGCGUAGGGUUUAAGGCAACAGCUCAACUGUUGUUCGCCCUACGAACUGGAGAACUUGAGUGCAGGAGAGGAAAGCGGAAUUCCUAGUGUAGCGGUGAAAUGCGUAGAUAUUAGGAGGAACACCGGUGGCGAAGGCGGCUUUCUGGACUGUAACUGACACUGAGGUACGAAAGCGUGGGGAGCAAACA
RNAcentral lists this ribosomal RNA (404 nucleotides) under uncultured bacterium. RNAcentral's name for it is "bacterial SSU rRNA". It matches the Rfam family "Bacterial small subunit ribosomal RNA", at positions 355 to 774 of the family's 1533-position model. The record is from RNAcentral.